GACGGUUCUCGGGUGACACACUCUGGAAUCGGGCUCCCUCCUCUGUGGUUCUGGGUGUGUCACCCAAGAACCGCA
Molecule: non-coding RNA, 75 nt
Organism: Myotis lucifugus (little brown bat)
Lineage: Eukaryota; Metazoa; Chordata; Mammalia; Chiroptera; Vespertilionidae
Source: Rfam